RNAcentral lists this ribosomal RNA (324 nucleotides) under uncultured eukaryote. RNAcentral describes it as "partial 18S ribosomal RNA". It matches the Rfam family "Eukaryotic small subunit ribosomal RNA", at positions 1470 to 1796 of the family's 1831-position model. The record is from RNAcentral.
CCCUUAGAUGUUCUGGGCUGCACGCGCGCUACACUGAAGCUAUCAACACGUUUUCCCUCCCUGAGAAGGGCGGGUAACCUUUUGAAUCAGCUUCGUGGUAGGGAUCGGGGCUUGCAAUUGUUCCCCGUGAACCAGGAAUUCCUAGUAGACGCGAGUCAUAAGCUCGCAUCGAUUAAGUCCCUGCCCUUUGUACACACCGCCCGUCGCUACUACCGAUUGAACGUUUUAGUGAGGCAUUUGGACCGACGCAUAUCAGUUUAACCGCUGGUUUGUGUUGGAAAGACUUCCAAACUUGAGCGUUUAGAGGAAGUAAAAGUCGUAACA